AUAUGAAUCUUUGUUUUAGAUUUAUUUGUCGAAUUUAUCCACGAAUCGACCGGAUUUGUUUUUCAAAACAAACUAUGGAUUCGAACCGAAUUUAUGAAGGACCUUAUUUAAGGUGUAGUUCUAACGCACAAUCAAAAAUAAUAAAUAUAAUCAAAAACGGUAAUAAGUGUUAUAAGUUAUAAUACGCUGGUGUGUAUUUCAUGGGAUUGGGAAAACCACUCCGACUUUAAUUGAUACUAAAAAGGAAGCCAAAGAAUGGUCCGGUUUAAUGAGAUGUGUACCCCCUGGUAGAAGUUCUGGUUACGGCCCUGUUGUAGUUUAUUUACCGCGGAUGUAAAUAAUAAUUUUUGUUUACUUAUUUCUGUACUUCAGAACCUUCUNAGGCAACAAUGUUCAAGAAAAAAAUGACUUCAGCAGGACCCUAUGGGAUGUCUGAGACCUCGGGCCCUUCUGAGACAAAAUCGAAGGAAAAAAUGACAACAGGACCUCAGCUGCAUGAAGACGAACCGAUCCCUUAGGAUCUCUUAGGAGUGGGGGUGCUUGACGGAA
RNAcentral lists this long non-coding RNA (549 nucleotides) under Exaiptasia diaphana. RNAcentral's name for it is "uncharacterized LOC110249568, transcript variant X1". Lineage: Eukaryota; Metazoa; Cnidaria; Anthozoa; Actiniaria; Aiptasiidae. The record is from RNAcentral.